UGGUUAGUUACCGGAGUUCUAUAUAACCCCGUUUUUCAUGGAUUUGGUAACACCUUUCUAAGUUGUAUCCAUCAAAUCUGUGAAAAGAAUAUUGUGUAUUCAACCUGCAGUUGAACACUCAAUACCAGUGGAACCAAAUUAUAUGCCCAUCCCGUAUCUAUUUAAUAACAUGACCUUUGCAAAGAAAGUAGCUACCAAGGUAGACAAGAGAUUGACUAUUACUAGGGCUCCAACAGUAUUUAAUAGGCUUAGGAAUGACAAGCACCAUAAGGAAGAACAUGAAAAAAUGGGGGUAUAUAGAAUUCUAGUAACUAAACAUGAAACUAAUCAACAAGCAGCUUAUAUAGGAGUUACAAGCAGGACCCUGGCACAGCACAUAAAGGAACAUAAAAAUGACAUAAAAAAUGCCAG
RNAcentral lists this long non-coding RNA (411 nucleotides) under Androctonus crassicauda. The record is from RNAcentral. Lineage: Eukaryota; Metazoa; Arthropoda; Arachnida; Scorpiones; Buthidae.